CUUUAUUCUGUACAGAGAAAGCUUCUGAACACAAACUUAUGCAAAGCUGGGGCAGGGCGUUUUCAUUUGUAAGCAAUAAUGAGUUUUUUCAAUAUUGUUUUUGAUCUUUUAAAUUGGUUGUUUUAUAGUAAAUCGUGUUCUUUCUAUUCCCUUGUGUUUUUAUUGGUUGCUGAAAUUUGUGUUACUCUCUUGUAGGAAUUGAAUAAGCCCAUGUUGCCCACCUCAAGAUGGGGCACAGAGCACAGUGCUGAAAGGAGAUCUUCCAGCGUGGACUUGGUUGAGCACAGACAUUCCCCUUUGUCUCCUUCUCUUCCAUCUCCUCGUAGUCUACUGAAGAACAAUCCUAUUUUUUCUUCUGUCGCCUCUGAGGAUCGUAGCAACCGGCAACAAAUCCACGCCCCCGUCCCCUUCCGGCCGCUUCCGAUCAAGACCGGUCUAGAUCGUCUGUCUAUCCCGUGGUCACUCUCAGAAUCAACUGACUGGGUAACAUUAGCAGCCCGCGGCUCUGGUGUUGGUAGCGGGAUAGCGGUUCACCCAAGCCAGACCCCAAUUACCAGCUCAAACAUUUUGCAAUUCCCAAAACUGAUCUCAUCAAGCAGCGGCCUCCAGUCUCGCGCACAUGGCCCAACACCUAGUGGCCUGCGGUCCUGGUCCCGCAGAAACCUGUCAGAGCAUGCAGAGAGUAGAGAAAAGAGAGUGACAGAAGCCGUUACAGCGCCGCCCCAGUGGAAGGCCUCAGCAACGCAGCCAGAGAGGAUUUUUGUAGAGAAUCUGAGAGAGGAUGAAGAGGAAGCUCCGUUAGACCUGUCUGAGUCGGGACGUUCAAAAAGCAAAGAGAAAGAGAAAACACACUCUCAGAGCGAUGCAUCUUCAUCUUCAUCUUCCUCACCACCUGCUACACUUUCAUCGUCAUCUCAAUGCCCAUCAAGCCCUCAGAGUGACCAGCAGACAGCAGACAAUAACACACAGCAGGAGGAAGCACAGGAAACAUGUAAGGAGCAGAGAGAGGUAAAGGAAGGUGAAACAUCUCCAGCAGCUGAAACGUCUGUCAGCUCAGAGGAGAGGAAAAUCCCAGCACUAACCAUUUCCCUCCAGCCAGUUGUGGUUAUGGAGUCCCUUAAAACAAGACGACAGGUGUCUGAUCCUGGAAACAGACUGACGGAGCAAGAGGAGAAGGAGAACAAUAGCAUUGAAGCAAGCAGAAAAAGACCUGGACAGGAUACUGAUGCUCUUUCCCAGCGCUCACUAAAGGAGAUUAAAAUACGGCUGAGCAGGGGACAUCAAGGAACCCAUGCAGACUCAGAGCAAGGAUGAAGGCAACGGAUUUAACUAUUAUGUAUGAUCUGCUGUGGUUAUUCAGACAACCAUUUUGUUUUCACCCUUCACCACCAGUUUCCAAGUUCGAAUCGCUGGUGUUCGCUUUAGUUUUCCAGAAAAACCAACACUAGACUUCAGCCGCACGCACCUCUUAUCAACAUAAUUCUAGUGUAUCGAAUACAAUGCAUACUGCAGUGCAGACUGGAAUUAAAUAAGAUAUAUUUUUUUCGUGUUCAAGCUAUAUCAUUCAAACUGUAUGUGGAUGAAUUUGUGCUGGAUUAAUUUGUUAUUUUAUUGUGUCGAUUUCCCAGAAAUCUUUAGCGCUACCAAAACAGGAAGCUUCACUUUAUUCACUUUAUUCUUCCUCUUUUAUACCAUAUCAUGAGUUUUUAAUAAGCACAUAUAACAGGAGUACAUGCAAUUGCUUGCUGUCUUGUGUUGUUACCAUUCUGUCAUGUCAACACUCAGUUUGUGUUCAUUCUCUCUUCCGUGUAAGAGGUGUCGCAUCUCAUCUAUUUUUGUCUCUGAGCACUACAGCCUGCUUCUUGUAGAUGUGACAAAAUGAAAAACCCUCGGCUUCCCCUUUUGGUUUUUUUGAGAUGUCAAGCAUAUAUUUUGUAAUAGUGAAUUUUCCACUUGCAGCUGUAAAAGCUUUCAGAGUGUAAAAGGAGGAAGGGUAAAACUGUGAAGAAAAAAAAUAUAUAAUUUUUUUUUACUUUCUGUACCAUUGCUUCAAACUAGACGUAAACCUUUGCUUUGCACUAUUUUUUAGAUAGUUUUAGAGAUAAUUUGGAGAUAUUAUCUAACUAAAAGUCCUCACUUUUUAGACACUAGAAGGACAUAGCAACUACCUAACAACUAAUGUCUAUCUAAAUAAAUACAAAUAUAAGUGCAUUGCAUGAAAAGAUGGCUGUAGUCAUACUUUGUGAAUUAUCACCUGUAAUUGGGUUAGGAUGUGGGGAACACCUAUAUUGUUGCAGGAAGAGGGUAAAUAGUUUUCACUGUGAAGAACCUGAGAACAAUUAAGAAUUUUCACUUGAAUAUGCCAAUCACCACAACACUUAGCUUGUUACUUUUGUAUACUGAGCAAAGGUGUAUGAGUUUAAAGUUACAAAGGUAAAAAUCCAAAUAAAAACCCUUGGAUCAAGGUAUCACACUUGACUUUCUGUUAAUGUGAAUAUCUUCUCUCU
This 2507-nucleotide long non-coding RNA is filed under the name Sinocyclocheilus anshuiensis. Its description in RNAcentral is "lncRNA (ENSSANG00000033442.1)". Lineage: Eukaryota; Metazoa; Chordata; Actinopteri; Cypriniformes; Cyprinidae. The record is from RNAcentral.